This 72-nucleotide transfer RNA is filed under the name Biomphalaria glabrata. It matches the Rfam family "tRNA". Rfam says of the family: Transfer RNA (tRNA) molecules are approximately 80 nucleotides in length. Lineage: Eukaryota; Metazoa; Mollusca; Gastropoda; Planorbidae. The record is from Rfam by way of RNAcentral.
GGCGCUGUGGCUGAGUGGUUAAGCGCUGGGCUUUUGAACCUGAGGUCCUGGGUUCGAAUCUCGACGGAGUCU